RNAcentral lists this transfer RNA (76 nucleotides) under Lentisphaeria bacterium. RNAcentral describes it as "tRNA-Glu". It matches the Rfam family "tRNA". Rfam says of the family: Transfer RNA (tRNA) molecules are approximately 80 nucleotides in length. RNAcentral also lists the same sequence under 1 other name. Lineage: Bacteria; Pseudomonadati; Lentisphaerota; Lentisphaeria. The record is from RNAcentral.
GUUCCUAUCGUCUAGAGGCCUAGGACACCAGGUUUUCAUCCUGGUAACACGGGUUCGAAUCCCGUUGGGAAUGCCA